GCGGACGUGGCGGAAUUGGUAGACGCCCUAGACUUAGGAUCUAGUGAGUUCGCUCGUGAGAGUUCGAGUCUCUCCGUCCGCA
RNAcentral lists this transfer RNA (82 nucleotides) under Cyanophora paradoxa. RNAcentral's name for it is "tRNA leucine". It matches the Rfam family "tRNA". Rfam says of the family: Transfer RNA (tRNA) molecules are approximately 80 nucleotides in length. Their secondary structure includes four short double-helical elements and three loops (D, anti-codon, and T loops). The record is from RNAcentral. Lineage: Eukaryota; Glaucocystophyceae; Cyanophorales; Cyanophoraceae.